GACGAACGCUGGCGGCGUGCUUAACACAUGCAAGUCGAACGGAAAGGCCCUGCUUUUGUGGGGUGCUCGAGUGGCGAACGGGUGAGUAACACGUGAGUAACCUGCCCUUGACUUUGGGAUAACUUCAGGAAACUGGGGCUAAUACCGGAUAGGAGCUCCUGCUGCAUGGUGGGGGUUGGAAAGUUUCGGCGGUUGGGGAUGGACUCGCGGCUUAUCAGCUUGUUGGUGGGGUAGUGGCUUACCAAGGCUUUGACGGGUAGCCGGCCUGAGAGGGUGACCGGCCACAUUGGGACUGAGAUACGGCCCAGACGCCUACGGGAGGCAGGAGGGGGGAAUAUUGCACAAUGGGCGGAAGCCUGAUGCAGCAACGCCGCGUGCGGGAUGACGGCCUUCGGGUUGUAAACCGCUUUCGCCUGUGACGAAGCGUGAGUGACGGUAAUGGGUAAAGAAGCACCGGCUAACUACGUG
RNAcentral lists this ribosomal RNA (468 nucleotides) under uncultured bacterium. RNAcentral's name for it is "partial 16S ribosomal RNA". It matches the Rfam family "Bacterial small subunit ribosomal RNA", at positions 28 to 507 of the family's 1533-position model. The record is from RNAcentral.